AUACUUACCAGGCAGGGGAGAUACCAUGAUCACGAAGGUAGUUUUCCCAGAGCGAGGCUUAUCCAUUGCACUCUGGAUGUGCUGACCCCUGCGAUUUCCCCAAAUGUGGGAAACUCAACUGCAUAAUUUGUGGUAGUGGGGGACUGUGUUGGCGCUCUCCCCUG
This 164-nucleotide small nuclear RNA is filed under the name Castor canadensis (American beaver). Its description in RNAcentral is "U1 spliceosomal RNA (ENSCCNG00000007643.1)". It matches the Rfam family "U1 spliceosomal RNA". Rfam says of the family: U1 is a small nuclear RNA (snRNA) component of the spliceosome (involved in pre-mRNA splicing). Lineage: Eukaryota; Metazoa; Chordata; Mammalia; Rodentia; Castoridae. The record is from Rfam by way of RNAcentral.